CUAGCCCGCUCCCUAGUGCUUUCAAGUACUACGUACUAUCUAAUCAAGCGAAGUUCAAGAUUGCUGCCGUACCAUGGCCUGGCUGCCAAGGAUCGCCAUAGCAUAUACAUGCUUUCGGCCAUCGUCGUCUCCGGCAGCGGAUAAGCUGCGCCGGUCGGCUCGCUGCUCAUCGGCGGCCCAUCGGCUGUCGGCCAACUACCCGCCCAACUCCUGGGAUUACGACUCCCUCCUACUGUCUCUCAACGACCCCAUCCAUGAUCUGGUCGGCGGUCCAGGGAGCUUUGACAAGUUAAAGGCCGGCGUGAGGGAACGGCUGAUAUCGCCUACCACUUCGAUACGAGAUCGUCGGGAUCCUCACCUCCAUCCAUGGUACUAAACCUCACCCGUGCAGCUGGGAGGAUGAUCGUGACCUGGCUUCCGUGGCCUUGAGGUUCAGGUUACUCAGGGAAAAUUGUAUCCCAGUGUCACCUGCAGGUACCUAGCUAGUUAACUAUUAUAGCAAAACCAACUCCUUUUAAGAAAGACAGUGUAAAACUUAGACAGCAACGAAAUUAGCUGUACUUAACUUACAAUGUUGCAUGCAUGGUACCCAUGUAGAAUAUCUAAAAACUCUCGAAAAGAAUUGCCUCACACGCGCACUCCAGAGGGAAGAUAUCAAGGGACUACUCUCACUCCAUGAGGCAUCAUACCUGGCAUUCAGAGAUGAUGAAACAUUGGAUGAAGCAAGAACAUUUUGUGCCAAUGGUCUCAAAGAGCUCCUGCCAUCCUUGGAUCCCCACUUGCACAGUAGCGUGGUUCAUACUUUGGACAUUCCCAUGCAUCGGAGGUCUCCUAGACUAGAAGCAAGAUGGUUUAUAGAACACUAUGCUAGUGAUGUGAGUAAUUCCGACCCGUUGCUUCUCCGAUUUUCUAUGAGAGACUUCGAGAGGGUGCAAACAGUGCAUCAACAAGAACUUCGGAGACUUUUGAGGCAAGCACAACAUUACUAAGCUUCUAGACAGACAGCAUGCACUAAUCCUAACUGGUUACUUUCUUGUAGACUAUCUAUACAUGAUAGUGAAAUGAGUCAAUUACGCCACGGGUGUCUAAACUUGGCAAGAAAAAACAGUUUGGUACUAGAACUUGUGGGAUACAUUGAACCAGUGACAGAACUUGGCUUGAACGUGCAUCUACGGUGCUAAUCACGUCCGUAUACAUAUAGGAUGCUGACGUGGCAUGCCACCAUGGCGCGGGGCCAUCCGUAAGUGAAUAGGAGACAGGGGAGGAAUGUUUUUAUGAAUCAUUAAAAAUAUUUUCGUAAUUCCUAAAAAUUACUAUAAUUAUAUAUAUAAUUAAACACAUAAAUAUUACUUUAGUUAUAUAUAUUAUAAAUUAUCGUGUAUAUUUAUAGAAUUACACGAAUAUUCUUUUAAAUAGGAACAUUUAUUAGAAUUAUAUGAACAUUAUAUUAAAUAAGAUUAUUUUUAGAAUUAUAUGAACACUAUUCUAAAGAAAGAUAUUUUUAUUAUAAUACAUGAACUUAUUUAAAAUAAUUUAGUUCCCCUUUGUAUUUAAAUUAUUUAUAAUUUACAUAAUAGAAAAUAACCCUAUUUUUUAUAUAUUGUUUUGAGGGACAAGUACAUAAUUCUAAGAAAGGAAAAUAACUAACAUUUGAGAAAUGGGCCGGAGGGCCAGCCCCUCAUUUAAGCCUGAUGUGCACGCUUGCCUGUAGUUCAUUAGCACUAGCUAUCCAAUUUCAACAGCAAAUUGUAAAUGGUAUGGUGGCUAGCCUGGGCGGCCAGUGAGCCAAUGUUCUUCGUUCGAACUAUCGUGUCUCAUUAUUUUUCUUAUUAAUGAUAUUAAUUUCCUCCGUGUAAUGUAUCCUGACGGGUGGGGCCCAAUGUUUACACAGGUGUGUUGUUUCAUUUUUUAAGGAAAAUUUUUGAGAGGCUUUCUUAUGAUAAAAAUAAAAUUCCAGGGCGUUUUUGCAACAAAAAAACAGGUCACACGACCUCGUCCCUGCAGCAUCAGCACCCUGUACGUAUACAAGCGCGAUUAGCACUGUAGAUGCACGCCCAAACCAAGUUAUGUCACCGGUUCAAUGUAUGCUACAAGUUUUAGCACCAAACUGAUUUUUCUUGCCAAGUUCAAGCACCUAUGGUGUAAUUGACUCUAGUGAAAUUAAUUGCCAUGCUAUGAUUGAUUAUACAUGUUUAAUGUAGAUGGAGGACGGAGAUUGGACUUGGUGAGAAAUUUGGGUUCGCAAGAGAUCGUCUCAUAGAGUGCUUCCAUUGUGCAAAUGGAAUUGUCUGGGAUCCAAACCAUGGAUCAUGUCGGGAAGUGCUUUCCAGAGUUAUUCAUUUAGCCGCACACUUGGAUGACGUAUAUGAUGUGUAUGGAACCCUAGAUGAACUCAUCCGCUUCACCGAGGCAAUUGGAAGGUAGAAUUUAAAAUAUAAAACACCCAGUAAUUUCAAAUUGACCUGUGCUGAAAUAAAUAUAUUUCAGGUGGGAACAAAGUCCUAGGGAAAUUCUUCCUGAAUAUAUGCGAGCACUUUACUCUGUUAUGUAUAACACAUCCAAUGAGGUGGCUAAAAAUGUGUUGGGAAAACAUGGCUUCAAUGUGUUUUGUUUUCUUCGGGAUGCGGUAAGGCACUAAGUCAUACAUCACUAAAAACACAGCGAACUUCCUAAUCAGACACACAUAAUUUACGUAAUGUUGCAUCAUGGAAAUCACAUACCAACCCUAACGGACUACCUGGACAAUGGGUCAGUUUCGUCUACAGCACCAUUAUUGUUGCAACAUGCAUUUCCCAUGCUCAACAUGGAGGCCACACCAAAAGUUUCUUGAUAUAGCCCGAAGCUACCCAAGAUUAAUUCAAUCUACAUCACUGGUUUCACGGCUAUGCAAUGACUCCGCGACACACUCUGUAUGAAAAAUUCUUAUCUCUAUUUGUUCCUUCAUGUUUCAUUAUCAGAAUUUAUCAUUUUUAUGAGUCAUCUCAUGUGAUAUAUAUUUAUUUGUAUAUUUUGGUAAUUGUUUAUUAUAGGCUGAGCUUGAGAGACGGGACACACCAUCUUCCAUAGCUAUCCACAUGUCGCAGAACAACACCAGUGAGAAAGAGUCUCGGAAAGCCAUGGAAGACCUUACGAUGGAUGCUUGGAAGUCAAUUAACGAAGAUGCUUUCUUACAUUGCCGAUUUUCUAGUACUCUCACCAUGGCUUGCGUUAAUUUGGCUCGAACCUCACAUUGUGUUUACCAAGGUGGGGAUGGUUUUGGGGCACCGGAUGGUAAAAUAAAGGAGAAAAUCACAGAGUUGUUCUUGGAGACAUAUAGGACCGACAAACAAGAAUGAAUGGAAGCCCUCAAAUAUUAAGAGGAAUCAUUCCUUUCAAGUAAAUAUGAUAUUUCACCAAUGAAAGAUGGUAUGCAUGUUUUUUGUUGUA
Non-coding RNA from Triticum urartu, 3426 nucleotides. NCBI's taxonomy places the organism in Eukaryota, Viridiplantae, Streptophyta, Magnoliopsida, Poales, Poaceae. The record is from RefSeq and is a predicted model, not a curated record.